GCCCAUUACUCCUGAGCAGCUCAGGAGCACCAUUGACUUUUUAUGGCCCUCCCUCCAGGGCACAGGGGGAACAUCCAAAUGAAAGAAAUGUUUACUGAGCACCUACUAAGUAUGAGGAUCCAUUUUUGGACCAGUCAUCGUUCCUGCUUCCAAACGGAGAGACAGGGAAUUAUUAAGCCUGAUUAUCUCCAAAGCACCUGCCAGCUUGGACAUUCUAUGAAACAAGUGAGAUCACGAAAGAUGUGAAACAUGUUAGAGUGAAGGUUUGCAUACGGGAUAGAGCAAGGGUCACAGAACACUCUGCUGCGGAGGUAAGCUGCGACCGUCUAGCCUUCUGGGAGUGUGCGAAGCCCCUCAACCACAAGGAUCCAGACUGGGAGCAAGAUGUUGUGUCUGAACACCCUCAGGACAGAGAACCAGAAUCUCUGCUGAGUUCCUGUCACCACCCCCGCCCCCUGCUUUUACCUGUGUCACCCAAACUCUCUGGGGAUGGCAACACCUACCUCACAUAUUACUGUGAUGAUUAAAUGUGAAAACACAUAUGAAAGGUCUUUGUAAACUCUGAAGUGCUUUAUACAUGGAAAAUAGAAUUAAUAUUCAUGAAAGAGGAAGAAAUAGAAGGGUACCUUAAAGGAUAGAUAGGCACUACCUAAGUGGGUGUCAGACACUAAAGUACAUACUUCAUAAAAAUCAAUCAUUUAGUCCUCCUGACAUGAGAUAGGAGUUAUUAUUUUUCCCAUUCUACA
RNAcentral lists this long non-coding RNA (746 nucleotides) under Mustela putorius furo (domestic ferret). Its description in RNAcentral is "lncRNA (ENSMPUG00000030528.1)". The record is from RNAcentral. Lineage: Eukaryota; Metazoa; Chordata; Mammalia; Carnivora; Mustelidae.